This 704-nucleotide long non-coding RNA is filed under the name Mus musculus (house mouse). RNAcentral describes it as "predicted gene, 38139". Lineage: Eukaryota; Metazoa; Chordata; Mammalia; Rodentia; Muridae. The record is from RNAcentral.
UUGUCUCUCACUUUCUCCUCCUCAAAUAACAACACACUUGUGUUUGGGAUACAUCAGGCAGCACAGGGGUUGCAGAGACUCACUGGCCAGAGCUUGGCUUGGCGAAACUUGACUCUUGCUCCCAUGUCCUGAUCUUCAGCCAACUUUUGCAUACCCCAUAAGGCUCACCUCAACACCAACCUUAUCUUUGAGUCCUUUCUUUCUUCUCCAGAUGUGUUCUAUGUGAGAUGCACAAUGUCCCUCAUGUGUGUUUGAACACAUGGUUGCUGAGUGAUAGUCCUAAUUUUGAGGGUUGCGGACCUGUUAAGAGGUGGGUUGCGGGGAGAGCAGGUCUUGGGGUUUUUAACCAGUUUUUCUCCCUGUCUCCCUGCUUCCCAAUGCACCCAAAUGUGAGCAACAGCUUUGCUUCCUGUGGCCAUAGCUGAGAGCUACUACCACUGCCAGACCUUUCCUGACAUGGUGGACUUUCCUCCCAAUUAUGAGUCAGAUGCUGAUACCUAGGAGGCAUCUUGUACCCCGAGAUGCAUUUCAAUAUGAAUGCUGCACGACUCUGAGAAUAUCUUUCUUGAGAAUAGGUAAAAAUAGAAGCAAAGUAGUAGGCAGCAUUGAAGGAGGAGGAGGAGGAGGAGGAGGAGGAGGAGAAAGAAGAAGAAGAAGAAGAAGAAGAAGAAGAAGAAGAAGAAGAAGAAGAAGAAGAAGAAGAA